AAGAAAUUAGCUCAGCGGUAGAGCUGUCGUUUUACACACGAAAGGUCAGGUGUUCGAAUCACCUAUUUCUUA
This is a transfer RNA of Coccidioides immitis RS, 72 nucleotides long. It matches the Rfam family "tRNA". From Rfam's summary of the family: Transfer RNA (tRNA) molecules are approximately 80 nucleotides in length. Their secondary structure includes four short double-helical elements and three loops (D, anti-codon, and T loops). Further hydrogen bonds mediate the characteristic L-shaped molecular structure. tRNAs have two regions of fundamental functional importance: the anti-codon, which is responsible for specific mRNA codon recognition, and the 3' end, to which the tRNAs corresponding amino acid is attached (by aminoacyl-tRNA synthetases). tRNAs cope with the degeneracy of the genetic code in two manners: having more than one tRNA (with a specific anti-codon) for a particular amino acid; and 'wobble' base-pairing, i.e. permitting non-standard base-pairing at the 3rd anti-codon position. The record is from Rfam. Lineage: Eukaryota; Fungi; Ascomycota; Eurotiomycetes; Onygenales; Onygenaceae.